This is a long non-coding RNA of Ictalurus punctatus (channel catfish), 1329 nucleotides long. Lineage: Eukaryota; Metazoa; Chordata; Actinopteri; Siluriformes; Ictaluridae. The record is from Ensembl.
UAGCUCUUCAUUAUCUAAUAUUGUAAAUGUCCUAGUUUCAUCAACUAUUAUUGCUGCAUAACUGGAACUUUUAUUUAAUAACCAUAACACGCUACUUUUGUAAAAAAAUGUAAAAGUAUAACGCCACGAGGGUGUAUUUUUAGAAGUAAAACCUCUACCUUUUUAACGCUGAAUAAUCAAAACUCCAGUGAUUCGAUUCCAUUCCACCGACCGAGUUUGAAAGAUUCGACUCGGUGAAUCGAACUGUUCUACGCAUGCGCAGUAUCACGAAAGCAGGACUUCGUGUCUGAGACUCGAUUGCUCAAGUCUCAAUUCUGCCGAGCUUUUUUCGAUACCGGCAUCUUUUUUUUCUUCUUCCUCACUCUCCUGUUUAUCUCGCUUUUAUUUCUCUUCCUGAGAUCUCGGAAAGAAAUCACGGCACAAUGACCGGAGAUCACGGACACCACCAGGUGGAGUCUGGCUCUCGACUAAAUGAUUCCCACAAACAUAAAGACAAGCAUAAAGACAAAGAGCACAGGCACAAAGACCACAAGAAAGACAAAGAGCGUGAAAAGUCCAAGUACACUAACAGGUAAAGGUGCACUUCUACUUGUUCACUCGUUCGUUCUUUCGUUCUUUUUGUUUCUUCUUCACACUAUGAAUGCUGGGAAACGACUGGAUUUUAUAUCGUCUUGAAUAAAUCUUAAGCAUAUUAACUGUUUAUAUAUAAAAAAAAAAAAAAGUAAAGCGGUCUCAACCCGUUGGGAUUUAUUUUACAGUAAACUAUCGUGUUCGGUAACGUUUACCGCGGAGUUUGUUUUUAAUGAGAGGUUCUGACCUCUCCACGCAAAAGGAACGCACUUUUUUAAUUUUUUUUUUAAUUAAGGUAGUUGUCGUGAUUUCCACACCUGUGAGCAGCUUGGAAGCACCCUUGGGGGUGUCGAACCCCACUUUAAGCCCAUGGCUCUAGAACGCAACAGAAGAUCUUGAAUGUAAUGAUUUCAGAGGGGUUUCAGUGGUUUCAGUGGUCUCGCACGUUCUGCUCGUUCUUCUCUUUCUGGAAGUUUAAUGAGCUAAACAUUUAAAUACGGGCGGUUGUGUUCUUCAACAUUUUCCCACCAGGAGUUCUAUAGUGUUCUACUCUCCUGUGAUGCGCAAGUAGGAAACCCAGUUAUAUAACCAUGUAUGGUAUAAUUAUACACCCCUCUCUCUCGUUCUCCCUCUUUCUUUCUUUCUUUCUUUCUUUCUUCAAUUCUUUCCCUCUCUUUUCUUCUUUCUUUCUGUUUAAUUCUUUCUCUCUCUCUCCUUCUUCUUUCUUUCUAUUUAAUUCUUUCCCUCUCUUUUUCUUCU